RNAcentral lists this ribosomal RNA (468 nucleotides) under uncultured bacterium. RNAcentral's name for it is "partial 16S ribosomal RNA". It matches the Rfam family "Bacterial small subunit ribosomal RNA", at positions 28 to 507 of the family's 1533-position model. The record is from RNAcentral.
GACGAACGCUGGCGGCGUGCUUAACACAUGCAAGUCGAACGGAAAGUCCCUGCUUUUUUUGGGUGCUCGAUUGGCGAACGUGUGAGUAACACGUGAGUAACCUGCCCUUUACUUUGUUAUAACUUCAGGAAACUUUGGCUAAUACCUUAUAUGAUCUCCUGCUUCAUUGUGUUGUUUGGACAUUUUCGGCGGUUGGGGAUGGACUCGCGGCUUAUCUGCUUGUUGGUGGGGUAGUGGCUUACCAAGGCUUUGACGGGUAGCCGGCCUGAGAGGGUGACCGGCAACAUGGGGACUGAGAGAAGGACCAGAAUCCUACGGGAGGCAGCAGUGGGGAAUAUUGCACAAUGGGCGGAAGCCUGAUGAAGAAACGCAGCGUGCGGGAUGACGGCCUUCGGGUUGUAAACCGAUUUCGCCUGUGACGAAGAGUGAGUGACGGUAAUGGGUAAAGAAGCACCGGCUAACUACGUG